GUAUGCAUUUUCUUAAAGUUGACGAGGAAGCCAAGGGAAAAUCUUGAAACUAAAGCUGCAGAGGACAUCAGCUAGGAUGAUUCUUUGCAAUUCGACUUCGACACUAUAAGGAAGGCAACCGACGAAUUUUCUGAUGAAAACAAACUUGGAGAAGGUGGAUGUGGAGCCGUUUACAAGGGUAGGCUAUCUAAUGGACAAUAUAUAGCAGUAAAAAGGCUCUCCAAGACUGCAGGACAGGGUGACGAAGAGUUUAAAAAUGAAGUUAAGCUUGUUGCUAAACUUCAACACCGUAAUUUAGUUCGACUUCUAGGCUU
This is a long non-coding RNA of Humulus lupulus (European hop), 314 nucleotides long. RefSeq lists it as uncharacterized. The record is from RefSeq and is a predicted model, not a curated record. The transcript is spliced from 3 exons. NCBI's taxonomy places the organism in Eukaryota, Viridiplantae, Streptophyta, Magnoliopsida, Rosales, Cannabaceae.